Molecule: small nucleolar RNA, 144 nt
Organism: Psammomys obesus (fat sand rat)
Lineage: Eukaryota; Metazoa; Chordata; Mammalia; Rodentia; Muridae
Product: small nucleolar RNA SNORA48
Exons: 1
Source: RefSeq, a predicted model, not a curated record
UUCCCCUGGCAAUGGGCAAAGAGACACUUUGUUGGUGAUGGUGUUCUUAUACCAGUCAGGGUCAGAGAAGUUGGCAUUCCUUUGUUCAUCUAAGCUUGAUGCCUGGCUUGGUGGCCAAAGCUGUGUUAUGCUAAGGACUCAUAA